Molecule: ribosomal RNA, 1939 nt
Filed under: human gut metagenome
Description: bacterial LSU rRNA
Rfam family: Bacterial large subunit ribosomal RNA
Source: RNAcentral
UCAAGCAAAAAAGAGCGCAGGGUGGAUGCCUUGGCACUAAGAGCCGAAGAAAGACGUGAUAAGCUGCGAAAAGCUGCGGGGAGAUGCAAAUAAUCUUUGAUCCGCAGAUGUCUGAAUGGGGAAACCCGGCUGGAAGGACUCCAGCCAUCCAUACGCCAAUCCAUAACGUAUGGAAGGGAACCCGGUGAACUGAAACAUCUAAGUAGCCGGAGGAAGAGAAAGAAACAUCGAUUUCCAGAGUAGCGGCGAGCGAAAUGGAAAGAGGCCAAACCGUUGUGCGUGCACAGCGGGGUUCGGACCGCAUAAUUGAUUCAGUGAUUCUAGCAGAAAGGUUUUGGGAAAGCCUGCCGGAGAGGGUGAAAGCCCCGUAAGCGAAAGGAAAACUGACAAGGCGGUAUCCAGAGUACAUCGAGACACGUGAAACCUUGAUGGAACACGCGGGGACCACCCCGUAAGCCUAAAUACUACUUAGUGACCGAUAGCGCAUAGUACUGUGAAGGAAAGGUGAAAAGGACCCCGGGAGGGGAGUGAAAGAGAACCUGAAACCCUGUGUCUACAAGCUGUGGAAGCACUUUAUAUGUGCGACCGCGUACUUUUUGUAGAACGGUCCGGCGAGUUACGCUUACUGGCAAGGUUAAGCACUUCAGGUGCGGAGCCGUAGGGAAACCAAGUCUUAAGAGGGCCAGAGUCAGUAGGAGUAGACCCGAAACCGGGUGAUCUAUCCAUGUCCAGGUUGAAGCUGCCGUAAGAGGUAGUGGAGGACCGAACCCACAUCCGUUGAAAAGGGUGGGGAUGAGGUGUGGAUAGGGGAGAAAUUCCAAUCGAACCCGGAGAUAGCUGGUUCUCCUCGAAAUAGCUUUAGGGCUAGCCUCGUUUUAGUCUUAUGGAGGUAGAGCACUGAAUUUCCGCGGGGGCGUCAAAGCUUACCAAAGAAUAUCAAACUCCGAAUGCCAUGUAGAUGAUGAACGGGAGUCAGACUGCACGAGAUAAGUUGGGCGGUCAAAAGGGAAAGAGCCCAGACCACCGGCUAAGGUCCCAAAGUGUGUGUUAAGUGGAAAAGGAUGUGGGAAUUCGAAGACAACUAGGAUGUUGGCUCAGAAGCAGCCAUACAUUCAAAGAGUGCGUAACAGCUCACUAGUCGAGAGUCCCUGCGCCGAAAAUGUCCGGGGCUGAAACACAACACCGAAGCCGUGGACUCCGUAAGGAGUGGUAGAGGAGCAUUCUUAAAACCGACGAAGCUGUACCGGUAAGGAGCAGUGGAGGGAUAAGAAGAGAGAAUGCCGGAAUGAGUAGCGAGAGGAAGGUGGGAAUCCUUCCGGCCGAAUAUCUAAGGUUUCCAGAGUAAAGCUGAUCUGCUCUGGGUAAGUCGGGGCCUAAGGAGAGGUCGCAAGACGUAUCCGAUGGACAACAGGUUUAGAUUCCUGUACCGCAUAUAAACAGAACUGUGGGGACGCAUGUGGAAAGCAUAAGCCGGGAAUGGAAAGACCGGUACAAGCGGGGUAGGUGUGUGACAGGCAAAUCCGUCAUAUAAGCCGAAGACGUGAUGUGGAGCGAAAUUUAGUAGUGAAGUAUGUGAGCCAUGUGCCGAGAAAAGCCGCUAUUGUUUUAUAUGUGCCCGUACCGUAAACCGACACAGGUGGAUGAGGAGAGAAUCCUAAGGCCGACGGAAGAAGCAUUGUUAAGGAAUUCGGCAAAAUGACCCCGUAACUUCGGGAGAAGGGGUGCCCACUGAAUGGUGGGCCGCAGAGAAUAGGCUCAAGCAACUGUUUAGCAAAAACACAGGUCUAUGCGAAACCGAAAGGUGAAGUAUAUGGGCUGACGCCUGCCCGGUGCUGGAAGGUUAAGAGGAGAGGUUAGCUUCGGCGAAGCUUUGAAUUUAAGCCCCAGUAAACGGCGGCCGUAACUAUAACGGUCCUAAGGUAGCGAAAUUCCUUGUCGG